CCCUUAGAUGUUCUGGGCCGCACGCGCGCUACACUGACGAAUGCAACGAGCUUAUAACCUUGGCCGAAAGGUCUGGGUAAUCUCCAAAUUUCGUCGUGAUGGGGAUAGAUUAUUGCAAUUAUUAAUCUUCAACGAGGAAUGCCUAGUAAGCGCAAGUCAUCAGCUUGCGUUGAUUACGUCCCUGCCCUUUGUACACACCGCCCGUCGCUCCUACCGAUUGAAUGGUCCGGUGAAGCGCUCGGACCGCGGCCUCUUGACGGUUUUCCGUCGAUUGGCUGUGGGAAGUUCGUUAAACCUUAUCAUUUAGAGGAAGGAGAGGUCGUAACA
RNAcentral lists this ribosomal RNA (327 nucleotides) under uncultured eukaryote. RNAcentral describes it as "partial 18S ribosomal RNA". It matches the Rfam family "Eukaryotic small subunit ribosomal RNA", at positions 1470 to 1796 of the family's 1831-position model. The record is from RNAcentral.